RNAcentral lists this long non-coding RNA (315 nucleotides) under Elaeis guineensis (African oil palm). RNAcentral describes it as "long non-coding RNA (EGUI_LNC063100)". The record is from RNAcentral. Lineage: Eukaryota; Viridiplantae; Streptophyta; Magnoliopsida; Arecales; Arecaceae.
GCUGGACUUCGGAUGCACUUGCUUUUAUUGGCAUAUUCAUUGAAAAGAGAUUACAAUUUAUCUUUCACCUGCAUAGAUUCAUAAACCCCGCUAUCACCAUAAAUCUUUUUAUAACACCAUUCAAUAAAAUUGAGCUUGUAACGGGGAUCCAAAAUAGCUGCUAUAGCUAAUAUCUAUUGAAAAAUAUAUUCUCAAGUCAAUCAUGUGAUGAUUGUGCUAAUUAUAAAUGUACAUAAAUUGAUAAAUAAUAAAAAUUAUUUGAUAUUUUUAUCACAAUAAUACAUCUUCUAAUGAACUCCUAUAUUGUGAUGAAGU